RNAcentral lists this small RNA (132 nucleotides) under Arabidopsis thaliana (thale cress). RNAcentral's name for it is "ATSL160730". The record is from RNAcentral. Lineage: Eukaryota; Viridiplantae; Streptophyta; Magnoliopsida; Brassicales; Brassicaceae.
AAUUGUUAUGUUCAAAAUCUAUGACUCAGGUAAAAUAUAUUUUUGGGUCCGCUACUGAUGCAUGCCUUGGUUUAGCAAUGAACUGUGAGAGAACUUGUACGGCAUAACACAAUUUUAAACGAAUGAUAAAAA